UCUCUCUGGCAAAAAAGAAGAAGCUCUCUUCGAGUUUCUCCACGACACCUUUCAAAUUUUCUGAAUUAAUAUAGGAUAAGAGAAAAUCGAGGAUGUCCCCGUGUAUGUGCUCUGCUACCCGUCGGAGGAGUUCUUGCUGGUUGCCGGAGCCUUCACCGGCAAGAGUCUUGGCCUCUUCUGCUCUAAGGAAGAUGACGCCCAAGCCCAGCUCCGCAAAGUUUUCACAGUCGACCCUCGUAUGCGUGGCGGCUCCAAAGUUGUUCCCGUUGCGCUCAACAAGGUUUUUCAGCUGAAGGUGAAUGGCAUGGCAUUUAGAUUGAUACCUGAGCAAUCUCAAGUAAAGAAUAACCUGCGAGUGAGGGAGAAAUCUGGCUCUGCUGCCAAUAGCUUUCCUGGUGUUCCUGUUUUCUAGGUUCUCCUCUCAGUUGCCUUAAAUCUGGAUAUCUCAUUUGAGUUUUUGUUUACAGUGUUGUAAGAAAGUUACAACAACAAUUCACUGUAUGGAUUUUAGGCAAAAGUUGAGGAAUAGCGAAGUGCACAUAGAAAAAACAGACAAUAAUUAGAGAUGAGUAGUAGUUGUAUGCGUCUACAAUGAGAAUGGUGGUAAUACUCAUCAAUGUUGGAAGUUUAAAGGACUUAAAAGCUAGUUCUAAAUAUUUAAAUAUGUAAUAAUAGUCAGUUGAUUUAUCUUUUUUGUUUAUGAUUUAUGAAGUUAAAAAAAAAAGGUUGAUGUCAUAUAUAA
Long non-coding RNA from Arachis duranensis, 742 nucleotides. RefSeq lists it as uncharacterized. NCBI's taxonomy places the organism in Eukaryota, Viridiplantae, Streptophyta, Magnoliopsida, Fabales, Fabaceae. The transcript has 3 exons. The record is from RefSeq and is a predicted model, not a curated record.